UCAAGCCUGUGAUGUGAUGUUAUCCCUGUCUGAAAAUUCAGCUGUGAGGGAAAAUUAAUAUCAGCUGAGGCUAUC
Molecule: small nucleolar RNA, 75 nt
Filed under: Notechis scutatus (mainland tiger snake)
Lineage: Eukaryota; Metazoa; Chordata; Lepidosauria; Squamata; Elapidae
Description: Small nucleolar RNA R38 (ENSNSUG00000015822.1)
Source: RNAcentral